GACGAACGCUGGCGGCGUGCUUAACACAUGCAAGUCGAACGGAAAGGCCCUGCUUUUGUGGGGUGCUCGAGUGGCGAACGGGUGAGUAACACGUGAGUAACCUGCCCUUGACUUUGGGAUAACUUCAGGAAACUGGGGCUAAUACCGGAUAGGAGCUCCUGCUGCAUGGAGGGGGUUGGAAAGUUUCGGCGGUUGGGGAUGGACUCGCGGCUUAUCAGCUUGUUGGUGGGGUAGUGGCUUACCAAGGCUUUGACGGGUAGCCGGCCUGAGCGGGUGACCGGCCACAAUGGGACUGAGAUACGGCGCAGACUCCUACGGGAGGCAGCAGUGGGGAAUAUUGCACAAUGGGCGGAAGCCUGAUGCAGAAACGCCGCGUGCGGGAUGACGGCCUUCGGGUUGUAAACCGCUUUCGCCUGUGACGAAGAGUGAGUGACGGUAAUGGGUAAAGAAGCACCGGCUAACUACGUG
This 468-nucleotide ribosomal RNA is filed under the name uncultured bacterium. RNAcentral describes it as "partial 16S ribosomal RNA". It matches the Rfam family "Bacterial small subunit ribosomal RNA", at positions 28 to 507 of the family's 1533-position model. The record is from RNAcentral.